GUAGUCCAUGCCGUAAACGAUGAUAGCUAGGUGUGGGGGGACUGACCCCUUCCGUGCCGGAGUAAACACAAUAAGCUAUCCACCUGGGGAGUACGGCCGCAAGGCUGAAACUCAAAGGAAUUGACGGGGGCCCGCACAAGCAGUGGAGUAUGUGGUUUAAUUCGAAGCAACGCGAAGAACCUUACCAGGUCUUGACAUCCAACUAACGAAGCAGAGAUGCAUUAGGUGCCCUUCGGGGAAAGUUGAGACAGGUGGUGCAUGGUUGUCGUCAGCUCGUGUCGUGAGAUGUUGGGUUAAGUCCCGCAACGAGCGCAACCCCUGCCAUUAGUUGCUACGCAAGAGCACUCUAAUGGGACCGCUACCGACAAGGUGGA
RNAcentral lists this ribosomal RNA (374 nucleotides) under uncultured bacterium. Its description in RNAcentral is "bacterial SSU rRNA". It matches the Rfam family "Bacterial small subunit ribosomal RNA", at positions 790 to 1167 of the family's 1533-position model. The record is from RNAcentral.